Molecule: long non-coding RNA, 1302 nt
Filed under: Phasianus colchicus (ring-necked pheasant)
Lineage: Eukaryota; Metazoa; Chordata; Aves; Galliformes; Phasianidae
Description: lncRNA (ENSPCLG00000001810.1)
Source: RNAcentral
UAUCCUUCCAGAGGGUGGUAAUAAAAUGCAACUGACUGGGACAGCUGUCUUUUCGUAGAGGAUUUUCACCAGCUCUAUGACAAUCUCUGUUCUUAAAUCAACAACACCUGCAACAUACAUUGGGUGCAGUAUGACAGAAGCUCUAGGAGUGGGGUUUGCAGCCACUUGUCCCUGGAUUGAGAUCCAGAAACUGUGCUGUGGUUUCCCAGUCUUGUAUCACCAGCAUAGAGCCACUGCUGCAUCUGACAACUGCUUCCUCCACUCACCUUUCUGUCAACAGGGACAGGGGUGUCAGCUUGGGUUUGUUCAGCACAUUUCUAAGAUGUCAGCUGUGUUCCUGUGAGGGGGAAAAAGUAAUUCUAAUGACCAAUUUAUCAUGAGUGAUGGAACAGUGGCACUCUGCAGGGAGUCAACAUUUGCAAGCUCAGGAUCAUGCAACAGAGGGAUGUGAACUUUUAAAAUGGAUACAAUUGUCAAAGCCUGUGAUGCUAUGGUCAGUUCUCUGGUGCAGAGAGGAACUGUUGGGAAGGAAGGAGGGGUCUGUAUGGUGACUGCCUUCAGGAAGUAGCAAUCUGAUUCAGGGCCUUUUCUAACAAAAAACCCAUGUGAAGUGGAAAAAAAUUGUAACCAGUAACAAAGGAAACAUCUCAGAGAUGGAAUCAUCAAGGCCCAGGCAUGGACAUUUAUGGGCAGGUCAAGACUCAAAAGGAAAACAGAGAGUUGAUAGUUUUUAAUCAUCCAUGAUAAGGCAGGUUAUCACCUGCAGAACUGUGACAACGUCCUUUAACUCAGUAAUGGCAGGAUUAAUUUGAAACAACCUUUGACGUAAAAUAAGCCCAAGCAAAGGCAAGGCCUGUGAAAUACACAGAUUGCAAACUCUACAGAAAUGUGCAUGCAGAAGUGGGAGAGAUGCACCUUGAAGGACAUGUAACAAUACAGACCACACAAAGCAUCAAUUAUUCCAUCUUUCUCUUCUCCCUUCUCCUCCUGUUCCCUUCAAUAUAAAAAAUAGACUAAUCCAGGAGAAUAGUGAUGAAGAGUUGUAGAGCUCAAUCUCUCUGCUUAGAAGCAUGCAGCUCUGUGUGAUCUGCUGGUAGACGUGACCAGAAGUAAACAGCCUGGGCUGGAGUGUUCCAUCUUGUAACUAGGUGGUUUUACUGUGUUUUCAGGUAAUAUGGCAAGUUAGACCAACUCCUCCCUUUCUGUAAUUCCUAAUAAUAGCUGCUUCCUAAAUUUCCGAUCAAAUAUAUGUUGUUGUCACACUCUAUGUAAAGAAAUAAAAGCUUGUCAAAAGCAGGAACA